AAUAGAUACCCGGGUAGUCCAUGCCGUAAACGUUGGGCACUAGGUGUGGGGCUCAUUCCACGAGUUCCGUGCCGCAGCAAACGCAUUAAGUGCCCCGCCUGGGGAGUACGGCCGCAAGGCUAAAACUCAAAGGAAUUGACGGGGGCCCGCACAAGCGGCGGAGCAUGCGGAUUAAUUCGAUGCAACGCGAAGAACCUUACCAAGGCUUGACAUGCACGAGAAGCCACCAGAGAUGGUGGUCUCUUUGGACACUCGUGCACAGGUGGUGCAUGGUUGUCGUCAGCUCGUGUCGUGAGAUGUUGGGUUAAGUCCCGCAACGAGCGCAACCCUCGUCCCAUGUUGCCAGCGGGUUAUGCCGGGGACUCAUGGGAGACUGCCGGGGUCAACUCGGAGGAAGGUGGGGAUGACGUCAAAUCAUCAUGCCCCUUAUGUCUUGGGCUUCACGCAUGCUACAAUGGCCGGUACAAAGGGCUGCGAUACCGUAAGGUGGAGCGAAUCCCAAAAAGCCGGUCUCAGUUCGGAUUGGGGU
RNAcentral lists this ribosomal RNA (529 nucleotides) under uncultured bacterium. RNAcentral's name for it is "bacterial SSU rRNA". It matches the Rfam family "Bacterial small subunit ribosomal RNA", at positions 777 to 1304 of the family's 1533-position model. The record is from RNAcentral.